This 301-nucleotide ribosomal RNA is filed under the name uncultured bacterium. RNAcentral describes it as "partial 16S ribosomal RNA". It matches the Rfam family "Bacterial small subunit ribosomal RNA", at positions 509 to 809 of the family's 1533-position model. The record is from RNAcentral.
CAGCCGCCGCGGUAAUACGUAGGUGGCAAGCGUUGUCCGGAAUUAUUGGGCGUAAAGGGCUCGCAGGCGGUUUCUUAAGUCUGACGUGAGAGCCCCCGGCUCGACCGGGGAGGGUCAUUGGAAACUGGGAAACUUGAGUGCAGAAGAGGAGAGUGGAAUUCCACGUGUAGCGGUGAAAUGCGUAGAGAUGUGGAGGAACACCAGUGGCGAAGGCGACUCUCUGGUCUGUAACUGACGCUGAGGAGCGAAAGCGUGGGGAGCGAACAGGAUUAGAGACCCCUGUAGUCCCUGUCUCUUAUAA